GCCUGGAAGACGUGGAUAUCCUGGUUAUAUGUAUACCGAUCUGGCAACAAUCUAUGAACGAGCUGGACGUAUCGAAGGACGAACGGGCUCCAUCACACAAAUUCCGAUUCUGACCAUGCCUAAUGAUGAUAUUACACAUCCAACCCCAGAUCUUACAGGUUACAUCACCGAAGGACAAAUAUAUAUUGAUCGACAGCUUCACAAUCGGCAGAUAUACCCACCAAUCAAUGUGCUUCCAUCCUUGUCUCGGUU
Molecule: unclassified non-coding RNA, 252 nt
Filed under: Hevea brasiliensis (rubber tree)
Lineage: Eukaryota; Viridiplantae; Streptophyta; Magnoliopsida; Malpighiales; Euphorbiaceae
Source: RNAcentral